UCUUUGGAGAGUUUGAUCCUGGCUCAGGACGAACGCUGGCGGCGUGCCUAAUACAUGCAAGUCGAGCGGACCGAACGAGAGCUUGCUCUUGUUUGGUCAGCGGCGGACGGGUGAGUAACACGUGGGCAACCUGCCCGCAAGACCGGGAUAACUCCGGGAAACCGGAGCUAAUAGCGGAUAACACCGAAGACCGCAUGGUCUUCGGUUGAAAGGCGGCCUUUGGGCUGUCACUUGCGGAUGGGCCCGCGGCGCAUUAGCUAGUUGGUGAGGUAACGGCUCACCAAGGCGACGAUGCGUAGCC
Molecule: ribosomal RNA, 301 nt
Filed under: Geobacillus sp. DSP4a
Lineage: Bacteria; Bacillati; Bacillota; Bacilli; Caryophanales; Anoxybacillaceae
Description: partial 16S ribosomal RNA
Rfam family: Bacterial small subunit ribosomal RNA
Source: RNAcentral